GUGUUUAGUUUUAUAACAAAGGGGAGGGGCCUAAUUCAAAACUUCACUGGGCGCCCCACAAGGCCUCUGCAACGGAUUCAACGCGGACUCUGCGGGAGGGAAGAAAGCAGACUGUUGCCGACAUUUUCUCAGCAGCAUUGAACGCCUUGAACGAUCCUUGUGUUGUGAAGAUGCUGUGGAAGUAUAACCUGGCUGCUCAUUCUCUGGCAGGAUUCUUCGAAAGCUUUACGGUGGACAGAUUCUGCAGGUUCUGCAUGGCAACAAGGGACGAGAUGCAAGCCAAAGAGAUGACUGCAAACCAGAAAAUGACCAUGAGAGUCAUUCUAACAGAGGCAGAUAUAAGGAAAGUCAUCCUACAUUCAAGGCCUUCUACAGUAAAAGACUUGAUAACCAAGCUUCGAGAGUCACUGGGACUUCAAUACAACUUCAGUCUCCAAUUCCAAGACCCUGAAUUCAAUAAUGAACUAUGUAAUCUAACAGAUCUUCAAGAACUUCCAGAAAAACCAACCAUUAAAGUCCUGCCUGUCUUUGACCUGGUGCCUGUCUCAUCUGAUGACGUCUUUAGCGACACAAGUACUGCAGAUACAGAGAUACUCUCACAUUCACCUCAGGAUCGACGUGAACCAUGGCCAGAAUUUUUUGACAUUCCAACAUUUUCUGUUGAUGUGGAGUAUAGACUGAGGCAAGCAGAUUUGCUGUUUAUGAGUGAAGGAACACACCUUAAGGUCUCAAAAGAGCUGAAACAUGAGAUACUAGAGAGACUGGCAGAAAGCAUGUAUAGCUACACAGCAUACCCAACUGCUGCUCAGUUUGAAAGUGUUGCAACAGCACUGAUAAACAAACACCCCUGUCUCCAGGAGCGAGGCUCUGUCACUCGCUGUUGUGGUUGGAAAAAUAGUCUAAAGCAUAAAAUGGGAAAUUAUAGAACAAAGCGCAGGCAAUCAGGAUGCCUUGAUGUUGCAGUAAAUGCCGGUAAGCGGGGAAGGCAUUCAUCAGAUGGACAACCAGCAAACAAGCGGAUAAAAAAGGCAAAGAAAGGUGAAAUCAACUACUUGCCCAACUUUCCGGAUGGAUUUGAUCAAGCUGCCCUGGAAGAGGCCCGUAAGGACUUGGCUGAUGAAAUGCAGAAGAGAACCCCAAAUGGACUUCUUGUAAAACAAAAGAUGGAUCAGACUUUUGCUUUGAGAAGAAAAGAGGUUGUGGACUCUGAACCCCCAUAAACAUGAUGGUGAAACGCUGGCCUGCCCUCUUCACAGAAGAUCAGGUGUUCAUGGAGUUCAGCAGGAUUGUGGGCAAGAACCUCAAGCAGGAAUUUUAUGAGAACAUCGAUCGGCACAGUCCUCGUUUCCUUGAGUUAUUUCGUUCCAAGAGAGGGAAUGUUGGACAGUUGUUGACUCAGAUUUCACAACAGACCAAUACUACUGACCCAACUGCAAUCCGGACACAGGUGCUCAGAGGGCUUCCAAUCAUCCUGGGGGACAAUCCUUCAACCUUCUUCAAAGCAGGCUUUGAAUCAGAUGCUGAUUUUUUCCGUGACCUUGACAUCGGGAUUCUUCUCACUGAGCGUGAAGAGGCUGUGCUCACAUCUGCCCAGCAUCCAAGUCCAACCUUGUUGAAAAUUAUCAUUGAGGGAGAAGUCGUGAUGGAAAACAUCCAAGAUCUGCCUAAAGCAAUGUGCAUUCUGUUUGGACUCACGUAUGCACUCCAUCUUAACUAUCCUAAAAGUAUGAAGCUGACCUUUCUGUUCAUCCAACAGAUUUUGCUCUCAUUAGGCCACACUGACCUAAAGCCAAAGAUACAAUCUUUGAAAAAUCAGCUUACAAUGUAAAGUGAUGUCAUCUCUACUGUGACAUGUUUGUUUUUUUUCCUCACCUUUUUGGUUCUGUAAAACAGCCCAACAAAAAGGCACAAAACGCAGAAACAGACACAUUCAGCACCCA
This is an RNA transcript of Oreochromis niloticus (Nile tilapia), 1940 nucleotides long. RefSeq lists it as uncharacterized. The record is from RefSeq and is a predicted model, not a curated record. Lineage: Eukaryota; Metazoa; Chordata; Actinopteri; Cichliformes; Cichlidae. The transcript has 7 exons.